GUCAGGUCUCAGCCUUUUGGCUAAGAUCAAGUGUAGUAUCUGUUCUUAUCAGGAGAGGUGUCAAAGCUCCUUCUGGUGAGGCAGAGAAACAUUUGAUCCUCUGGCCAGGGGGCCUAAGCAUUAUGAAAGCCUGGGGCAUUGUGCCCCCUAUGGUGG
Molecule: small nuclear RNA, 156 nt
Filed under: Xenopus laevis (African clawed frog)
Lineage: Eukaryota; Metazoa; Chordata; Amphibia; Anura; Pipidae
Description: U2 spliceosomal RNA
Rfam family: U2 spliceosomal RNA (bases 1-102)
About the family: U2 is a small nuclear RNA (snRNA) component of the spliceosome (involved in pre-mRNA splicing).
Source: Rfam by way of RNAcentral